Molecule: long non-coding RNA, 1284 nt
Organism: Ostrinia nubilalis (European corn borer)
Lineage: Eukaryota; Metazoa; Arthropoda; Insecta; Lepidoptera; Crambidae
Exons: 3
Source: RefSeq, a predicted model, not a curated record
GCUCCCCCUAGACACUUGGCUCCCCCUAGACAGUGCACAGCCGAGAGCAGCGAGCUAUUCGUGAACUGCCUCGAGGCCAUGGUGGAGACCUGCCUGCCCGGCGACGAGCCGCUCGUGCGCCCGCCGCCGCCCGACCCCGACCCCAAGGACGACCCGCACCGGCUCGCUGGUGUGCACCGCCAGCCGACCAUCUACUGUUCCGGUCAAGACACUUAGAGCAAGGAAUCCUUAAAAGAUACAAAGGUAUGACGCCCCUCCAGUCACCAUAAGAAGUGGAAUAGCUGUAUACGACGCUGUUUCGAACCAAAUUCAUCCUCAUCUUCUUCAUAAGAAAACUGGGGCGUGGCCGAUGUAUCUAACAACCUAUUUUGAACCCUAUUAUUAACAGCAUAGCGUUGCUGUCAGUUCAAAAUGACGUAUAUGUCAAAUACUUUAAAAAAUAUACAGUUUUUUGUGUCUCCUGAAAACCUACUGGUAUAACAUACAUCCUUUUGAACUGACAGCGACGAUAGAUCAUAAAUUAUUCCUCAUCUCUUCAUAAGAAAACUGGGGGCGUGGCCGAUGUAUCUAACAGCCUAUUUUCAACCCUGUCACCCAAAGCAUAGAUCACAAUUCGGGGUGACACUGUAGCUUAUUUGUUGUUACGUUAUAAAUGUUUAAAUGUCUUAUGCACGUAGAAUUAUAACGCCUAGAAACCGAGUAAGCGCUAGAAAAGUGAGGCACGAGACCACUGCUUUAGUUUUUCCCAUGCGUUCUGACAGUUGACUAAGUCAACUAGUGAAAACGUAUGUUUAGAUGACCUACAUUGACUUGUCUCACCAAACUCAUUGACAGGGGGGCGCUACCAUCGUUCAACUAUAUGGUUUCCAACAUGGCAAAAUCGGAACCAGCGAUCCGGUAUUGACGGUGGCGCCCCACUGUCAAUGUCAUGGAUAGGACAGUUCAGUAUUUUGGAACUAUAAGAUAACUUGGUGACUUAUGAUUUUUGCCUCACUUUAGACGAAGCGCUCGUAUGAAAACUCCAUAUAGGUGUUAUUUAACUAAGAUUAUGCACUUAUAUGUUAUAUGUGUAGUCAAAAUGGCUCUAAUUGUAAACGUAGGUUCCGUAGGACACUUUAGACUCUGUCUAUGAUAAUGAGAAAGGUCAUAGAUCAUAGACAAUUUGCUUUAACAGUUGCACCGCGAUGAAAUGACAAUCAUAGACUACCAAAAAGAAGAUAUUUGCCACCGUAUUUUGAACCAUAGCAAGAUAUGUUAAGGUUCAUUAAUUUAACAUUUUACCUA